GGGUUUAGGGUUUAGGGUUAGUAUAAUUGCCUUCCAAGCAAUAGAUCCGGGUUCGACUCCCGGCUGACGCA
This 71-nucleotide transfer RNA is filed under the name Vigna radiata var. radiata (mung bean). It matches the Rfam family "tRNA". From Rfam's summary of the family: Transfer RNA (tRNA) molecules are approximately 80 nucleotides in length. Lineage: Eukaryota; Viridiplantae; Streptophyta; Magnoliopsida; Fabales; Fabaceae. The record is from Rfam by way of RNAcentral.